CAUGAAUGAGAUCCUGAAAGAACUAAAUGGAGUUCAGUGUUAUUUGUAUAAUAUCCUUGUUACAUGAAAAGAUCAAGAGGAUUGUCUUCAAAAUUUGGAUACUAUCUUGCAACAUAUGGAAGACCAUGGACUGAGAAUACGUCAAGAGAAAUCCUGAAUUUGUCUAGCUUCAACUUCCCUCCAAUGGAUCCUGCCGUGAGAAAAGCAGAUUUUAAAACACUUAUUAUUUAUAGAAAAACUAGAUGCUUACCGCCAGCACCAGCAGCAAGGUGUGUGCCUGACUUCAACAGCAGAACUUUUUAGGACACUAAAGCACAUCAAGGGAUAGGGCCAGGAUCCAGCUGCAAGCACCGAGCUGACAGAACCACAGCCAGUCACAGGGCUUCUGCCAUGGCUCAGGGA
Long non-coding RNA from Malaclemys terrapin pileata, 402 nucleotides. RefSeq lists it as uncharacterized. The transcript has 3 exons. Lineage: Eukaryota; Metazoa; Chordata; Testudines; Emydidae. The record is from RefSeq and is a predicted model, not a curated record.